GAUGAGCGCUGGCGGCGUGCCUAAUACAUGCAAGUCGAGCGAAUGGAUUAAGAGCUUGCUCUUAUGAAGUUAGCGGCGGACGGGUGAGUAACACGUGGGUAACCUGCCCAUAAGACUGGGAUAACUCCGGGAAACCGGGGCUAAUACCGGAUAAUAUUUUGAACUGCAUGGUUCAAAAUUGAAAGGCGGCUUCGGCUGUCACUUAUGGAUGGACCCGCGUCGCAUUAGCUAGUUGGUGAGGUAACGGCUCACCAAGGCAACGAUGCGUAGCCGACCUGGGAGGGUGAUCGGCCACGCUGGGACGGAGACACGGCCCAGACUCCUACGGGAGGCAGCAGUAGGGAAUCUUCCGCAAUGGACGAAAGUCUGAAGGAGCAACGCCGCGUGAGUGAUGAAGGCUUUCGGGUCGUAAAACUCUGUUGUUAGGGAAGAACAAGUGCUAGUUGAAUAAGCUGACACCUUGACGGUACCUAACCAGAAAGCCACGGCUAACUACGUGCCAGCAGCCGCAGUAA
RNAcentral lists this ribosomal RNA (515 nucleotides) under uncultured bacterium. Its description in RNAcentral is "partial 16S ribosomal RNA". It matches the Rfam family "Bacterial small subunit ribosomal RNA", at positions 28 to 523 of the family's 1533-position model. The record is from RNAcentral.